GCCUACGGGGGGCAGCAGUGGGGAAUAUUGCACAAUGGGGGGAACCCUGAUGCAGCGACGCCGCGUGGGUGAAGGAGCACCUCGGUGCGUAAAGCCCUAUCGGCAGGGGAGAAACAGACGGUACCUGACUAAGAAGCCCCGGCUAACUACAUGCCAGCAGCCGCGGGAAUACGUAGGGGGCAAGCGUUAUCCGGAUUUACUGGGGGUAAAGGGAGCGUAGACGGCAUGGCAAGUAAGAUGUGAAAGCCCGGGGCUCAACCCCGGGGCUGCAUUUGAA
RNAcentral lists this ribosomal RNA (277 nucleotides) under uncultured bacterium. RNAcentral describes it as "partial 16S ribosomal RNA". It matches the Rfam family "Bacterial small subunit ribosomal RNA", at positions 337 to 631 of the family's 1533-position model. The record is from RNAcentral.